UUCUUUAUAGCUUGCUAUGGAGGAUAAUUAGUGGCAGACGGGUGAGUAAUGCAUAGGAAUCUACCUAGUAGUAUGGGAUAGCCACUAGAAAUGGUGGGUAAUACUGUAUAAUUCCUGCGGGGGAAAGAUUUAUCGCUAUUAGAUGAGCCUAUGUUAGAUUAGCUAGUUGGUAGGGUAAAGGCCUACCAAGGCGAUGAUCUAUAGCUGGUCUGAGAGGAUGAUCAGCCACACUGGAACUGAGAUACGGUCCAGACUCCUACGGGAGGCAGCAGUGGGGAAUAUUGGACAAUGGGCGCAAGCCUGAUCCAGCUAUGCCGCGUGAGUGAGGAAGGCCUUAGGGUUGUAAAACUCUUUCAGUAGGGAAGAUAAUGACGGUACCUACAGAAGAAGUCCCGGCAACUCCGUGCCAGCAGCCGCGGUAAUACGGAGGGGGCAAGCGUUGUUCGUAAU
Molecule: ribosomal RNA, 450 nt
Filed under: uncultured Anaplasma sp.
Lineage: Bacteria; Pseudomonadati; Pseudomonadota; Alphaproteobacteria; Rickettsiales; Anaplasmataceae
Description: bacterial SSU rRNA
Rfam family: Bacterial small subunit ribosomal RNA
Source: RNAcentral